UUGCUCUUCAACUUUAGCGGCGGACGGGUGAGUAACACGUGGGCAACCUGCCCUGCAGAUCGGGAUAACUCCGGGAAACCGGUGCUAAUACCGAAUAGUUUUCGCCACCUCCUGGUGGCGUACGGAAAGACGGUUUCGGCUGUCACUGCAGGAUGGGCCCGCGGCGCAUUAGCUAGUUGGUGGGGUAACGGCCCACCAAGGCAACGAUGCGUAGCCGACCUGAGAGGGUGAUCGGCCACACUGGGACUGAGACACGGCCCAGACUCCUACGGGAGGCAGCAGUAGGGAAUCUUCCGCAAUGGACGAAAGUCUGACGGAGCAACGCCGCGUGAGUGACGAAGGUUUUCGGAUCGUAAAACUCUGUUGUGAGGGAAGAACAAGUACCACUUAACUACUGGUACCUUGACGGUACCUCACCAGAAAGCCACGGCUAACUACGUGCCAGCAGCCGCGGUAAUACGUAGGUGGCAAGCGUUGUCCGGAAUUAUUGGGCGUAAAGCGCGCGCAGGCGGUCCCUUAAGUCUGAUGUGAAAGCCCACGGCUCAACCGUGGAGGGUCAUUGGAAACUGGGGGACUUGAGUGCAGAAGAGGAAAGUGGAAUUCCACGUGUAGCGGUGAAAUGCGUAGAGAUGUGGAGGAACACCAGUGGCGAAGGCGACUUUCUGGUCUGUAACUGACGCUGAGGCGCGAAAGCGUGGGGAGCAAACAGGAUUAGAUAC
This 719-nucleotide ribosomal RNA is filed under the name Planomicrobium sp. 125. Its description in RNAcentral is "bacterial SSU rRNA". It matches the Rfam family "Bacterial small subunit ribosomal RNA", at positions 79 to 785 of the family's 1533-position model. Lineage: Bacteria; Bacillati; Bacillota; Bacilli; Caryophanales; Caryophanaceae. The record is from RNAcentral.